Molecule: long non-coding RNA, 948 nt
Organism: Zonotrichia leucophrys gambelii
Lineage: Eukaryota; Metazoa; Chordata; Aves; Passeriformes; Passerellidae
Exons: 4
Source: RefSeq, a predicted model, not a curated record
CAGAAGAACUGCAUGGUAGAAAACCAGCUAGAAGGCAUGGACUUUAAGAAUAUAAAAACAACAAUAUGGGACUCUAGAAAUAUGAAAUAUAACAACAACUGUCCCAGUGCCUGACUGGUCACCUUGGAUUCGGCAGUGUGUAGUAUCCCUGUGAGUGCCUGCUCGCUGCCCUGAGCUGGUCAUUUGAUACCUCCCCGGUGCUCCUGGGAGGCCUAAAAUGGAGCAGCGCCGGAUUAGAUGUACCCAGUGCCCUUGGUGAGCUCCGCCGAGAUACGAUCCUCGAUCCUCGCCCUCCCGCCUCCGACCUGCUGGCGCCCAGCGCCGUCGCCACAGCAACGAGGAGCAGCAGCCCAUCCGCAUGGAAACGGCCUUGCCGUGCCCGCCAGCGCCGGGGGACAGCGCUUCAAACAGCCGGCUCCGAAAGAAAUUCUGGAUGGAGCUAGGACAGCAAUAAUACAUCACAGACCCACAACAAGCUCCUGCUGCUUGUGGAUACACAGAGGACCCUGGAAAAUCCAGUUUGUGGUGCACAAGGCAGGGCCAAAGAGACUGCAAGCAUCAAACCUGGCAAGAUCCCAGCAGCCCCUUUAGAAAGUGAGGUGCUUUCCUUUGCCAAGAGCAGUGGCAGGUCAGUACAGCUUGGGUGAAACAAAGCACUGCAACAGAUCUGUGCCAGGAAUCAGGAAUGGAUCCAGGCUGGUGCUCUGUGAACAGGGAGAGCUGCCUCUGACAUGUAGCUCUGAGCCAGGGGGAAGGAAAGAGUUACCCCACACCUUGUUUCCCAAUGUGAGCAGUGAGACAAAGAGGGAAGGAAGAUGACCUGACCCUGUGCAGUUGUUUACUACAGAUGACUACAAGGAGAUUGAGAUCUCAGGCUCUCCUUCUGUCUGACAAGGGCACUAAUGGCAUGGAGGGCUAGACAAGAGCCACAUAUGGUGGUAAGAGGAA